RNAcentral lists this long non-coding RNA (3610 nucleotides) under Citrus maxima (pomelo). RNAcentral's name for it is "long non-coding RNA (CMAX_LNC001807)". The record is from RNAcentral. Lineage: Eukaryota; Viridiplantae; Streptophyta; Magnoliopsida; Sapindales; Rutaceae.
CUGCUCUUCUCGUUUGUCGCAACUCAAAUGUCAGUUUUAUCCUUAACAAAAGUUCUCGUUUCCUCUUCGAACCUGUCAAAAGGAUAUAAUAAGCUAGGUUUGCCGAAUUCUGCAUGGGUUACGUAGGCGCUUAGCUGAGCUUUUUUGAGUUUUUAAAAAUAUUAUAUUAUUAUCAUAAAAUAAUAAUAUGUAAAUAAAAUUUAAUUUUUUUAUUUUUUAUUGAUGAACUACAAUCAAUAUGUAGAUUUUUAUUAAAAAAGAAAAUUUUCGAUCUAAAGAAGAACUUAUUUUAUUCUACAUAUGAAUAUAUAUGAUCAAGAUGAUUAAUUUCCUUUAAUUUUCAUCCACAAAAUGAUCUCAAUUUUUUAUUAAAAGAUAAAUUUACGUUUAUCAUAUCACAGUCAAGGGUAGAAUUGUAAAUCGCAAGCAUCCUCGCCUUGCGAACAAACCUCACUGACACCCUCAGCACACCCUAAGAUUCCCGCCUUUUCUGAACGCUCAAUGCUCACUUGUCUUUGACUAAACACGACAUUGCCAUGCCUCCCUGCCACGUCGCUCACCCAUUCCCUCCGUCCCACGUGGAAUGUAAAUUCACACUCGGAUGCAGAUCCAACGGUGCAGACUUUUCUCCUCACCCUAAUCCUGAUUUUUUUGUUUGGGACCCACCCUCCAGAUCCUUCCUCCUCACGUUUUUGCCGCCUAUUAAUAUAUUUUUUAAUACUCGACGUUAUAUAUAUAUAUAUUAUAAAUAAAACCAAACGUACUGUAGAGAAAAGCCCAGAGUCAAAAUCUCUCAAAGAAGAAACAAAAUGGAGGAAACGAGGAAGAGAGAAAGAGAACAAAACUUCAACCAAAACGACGACGUCUCAUCGGCUGCCUUGAAAAGGCCACGAGCUACCCUUGAAGAUGGCGGUGACGGCGGAGGAGAUUUAGGAGACGACAUAAUGGCGUGGCUUUCGAUGGACGACGACACGAUGAGUCAACUCAUGAACCUUCUAGACACGUCACCACCCAAUGCUGACUCAGCAACAGCUCGUACUACUAGAGUCAAGUUCAUCGACAACCCUUACAAGUCACUCGUGAUAUUUCAAUCGUCAUCGUCUUACGUCACCAUCAACGGAAACGAGGAGAGCUGCGGCUCCUCGUUCUCCGACUCGGAGUCGUCGGUGAUGGUGAGCGUGGACACGGCCGGGAUUGUGAAGAGCUUCCCUACGCGCGGGUCGCAGCGUGACUGUGAAGUAAGCGCGUGGAGUUCAAACGAGGAAGAGAAGGAGGUCGGUGGCUUUGGCUUUUUUGAGGGGGGAGGAGGAGAAAUAAUGGACGGCUGUGAUGGCUCUGAUUUGGAUGAUUAUGUGCUGCCCAAGUUUCUUGUACAGGAGCAGGAGGAGGCUCGGGCUCCUUUCUGAACCCUCAGUUAGGGUUUUAGGGUUUUUUGGUCGGUGGGGGUUUUAACUUUUAACACUGUUAAUAGAAAGAAAAUACGAGUUAAAAAUAUGAAUGAAAAGGAGCUUGUUGCUUUUUCUUGUAUUAUUUUUCUUUUUAAGUUUUAGCUUAUAUUCCCAAACAAAAAUUUUAAUUUUAAUUUAAAACUUGGAAACUAAUCAAUCGAGUACUCCAAUUUCUUUAAUGUAAAGGCAAAAGCAGCAAAGCCCAAACAUUUGUAGCAGAGGCUGAGGUUGGGGCUGGCUGAUAGCUCUUUCAAGGAAAUGGCCACACUGAUUACUGCUAGAACAGCCUGGAAACCUGGCCAUAUAAAGAAAGUAAGGGACAGGACGAUGAGAUAAUAUCAUAAUUAAGCAGCAUUAUUGUUGCACCAAUAGCCUUAUCUUUCUCUCUUUUUCUGUUUAAAACAAUACAAACCAGGGGUGAAAAAAAUAGGAUAAAACAAGAGCAAAAGUGCUACACACGCUACUGUGCUUAUAAUUACAUGUCUCGCGGCUCCUGAUCCUUGAUGAAGAGUAAUGAUAAUGAAUGUCAUAAAGUUGGAGCGUUCGGGACGGCUGCGUUGUGUUAUGUUCUAAGUUGUAUUAUAAAUAAUAAAGAAAGAAGAAAAAAUACGGUUGUCUGAGAGAACCGUUGUCUCUAGAAAAAAAGUAUUAAUUGAGUGAAUAAUCUCCUCUAUUCAUUCACUUUUCUAAUUUAAAUACAACACAGGUUACAUGACAAUGCAACUUACAAUAACUGAAUGAAACUGUUAGAAGAUAGUAAUUAAAAUACAUAUUAACUUACAUUACAACUCACUAACAUGACUCACUGGCUUAACUAAUAAAACUCAACACUAAUGGAACGUCUAACCAAUACUUAUGUAAACAACAUGCAUAAAUAAAUUAAGCUCACAUCACGUUGUCACGAACAGCUGCGUUGUCACAGCACAACUGCUCCACCCCUUAUAUUUAAGAGAAUUCUCUUAUAAUAUAAGGGGUAAAGCAACAACGUUGUGGCAGUACAGUUACCUCAAACACAUCCUUACUAACUAUUUUUUUAAUUUUAUUAGUGCAAUAAGUUCAAAAUAUUAACGAAUCAAUGACAAAAAUAUAUCAUUAUUCUAAUGAAAAUGCGCUACUCUUUUAUUCAUAAAUUUUACAAAUUUCAUAAAAUAUUGUAGGGUUAAAGGCAAAAUAAUAUUUCUUAAAGAUGCCUUUGGUACAUAAUUACAUGGGAUUGUAUUGCAUUAAGUAAUGUAGUCUCAGUUUCAUGCAUUAAAAGGCUACAACAGUUACUGCAUUCUGAGAAGUUCCAAGUUUCCCUUGGGUUUGCCUAAUGCAGCAUUUGGCACGUUAGCUAUUACUAAUAGCAUUGAAAAUAAUUUUAUAAAGUAUUAUUAAAUAAGAAUCUACAAAUAUUUGCCACCAAAGUCAUUAGUGGUCAUCGUAUUUCGAUGUCUUUUCAACUUACAUUUAGAACUAUUGCAAUCCUUAUCACUGACGCUACACAACUAUACAACUUCUGUCUACAACGCAACUUUUUCUUCACCGUAGAUCUAUUAUCAAAUUUUUGGAUAUGAGAUUUCUAAUGGUACUAAAUACAAGUUGAAAAGACUUUGGAGUAUGACAAUCGAUGACGAUUCAUCCUUAUUAUAGUUAAUAAAUUUAAAUAAUUAAUUUAAUAGAAAUAUUAAUAAAAUAUUAGUAAAUCUAAAUAACGUUAAUUUGAUAUAAUUAUUAAUAUAAAAUAUUUUAAUACGUAAAAUACAAUUUAUACAACAUGAAACAUGGUACUAUGUUAUAACUUAAUAUAAUGAAACGAAAUACACCCUAAAAUAAAAAUUUAUGUAUGCCAAAAUGAAAUCAAUUAAAAAAAAAAAAAAAGAAGAUCUCACGUUAGUGUUGCUUUGGGCGGAAAUUGGUAGUGAUUACAGGAUCUCAACUCGUGAUGUUUUGUACUCAAAACAAAUCUUCCAAGCUGCAAGAGGGUAUUUAUGCUCGCCAUGUCCUUUAUAUAAAAAGCAAAGGCUUGGGGGCGGGAUUCCCUUAAAUUGUACUAAUGAAUGUUUGACUCCGUUAAGAAAUUGAGUAAGAGCCUGCGGAAUUGACUCAAACUCACUAUAGGCUCGAGAAACAAAGAGAAGAUGUUAUGAACUGAGAUAUUCAGCAAUAAGAAGAAGGAAAAU